UGUUAUUAUUUUCUACAACAUCCAGUCAUGGGUUAAUGAAACCGAAAUAUUUUGUUUGAAUAGAUGUCAUCUUUGAGUUUAACAAAAUCUUAUCAAAACAGAAAGAAAAAAGUAUUAUGUAGUACUAUAAUACUCUUCAAUUUUUUAUUUUUUUUUAUCAGGUGAACGACCUGUGUCCCCAUGAGAAGUUUCAUAUACGCUCACAACUCCACAGAAUUCGGACCUCGACUCCAAUCUACACCAAAUGAAAGUUCCAAACCUCAGUUCCCCUAAAUCAAAAGUUCAAAUCCUCGGUCCACAAAAUUUUGAAUUUUGUGGUUUAUCGUUGGUUUAUUGUACCCGUGGAACUGAGGUUUGGAACUUUCAUUUGGUGUGGACUAGAGUCGAAGUCUGGAUUCUGUAGAAUUAUGAGCGUAUAUGAAACUUUCUACGGGGACACAGGUCGUUCACCCUUUUUUAUGAAAGAUAAGUCAUGAAAGAUUUUGUAACAUAUUAAACUGUGUGAAAAAUGCUGCUACAAGUAUUAAAUAAGCCCAUAUGCUUU
Molecule: small RNA, 544 nt
Filed under: Arabidopsis thaliana (thale cress)
Lineage: Eukaryota; Viridiplantae; Streptophyta; Magnoliopsida; Brassicales; Brassicaceae
Description: ATSL021750
Source: RNAcentral